UACGUAGGGGCCUAGCGUUGUCCGGAUUUAUUGGGCGUAAAGAGCUCGUAGGCGGUUUGGUGAGUCGGGUGUGAAACCUCCAGGCUCAACCUGGAGACGCCACCUGAUACUGCUGUGGCUAGAGUCCGGUAGGGGAGCGUGGAAUUCCUGGUGUAGCGGUGAAAUGCGCAGAUAUCAGGAGGAACACCAGCGGCGAAGGCGGCGCUCUGGGCCGGAACUGACGCUGAGGAGCGAAAGCGUGGGUAGCAAACAGG
RNAcentral lists this ribosomal RNA (254 nucleotides) under uncultured bacterium. Its description in RNAcentral is "partial 16S ribosomal RNA". It matches the Rfam family "Bacterial small subunit ribosomal RNA", at positions 524 to 776 of the family's 1533-position model. The record is from RNAcentral.